UACGGGGGGGGCAAGCGUUGUUCGGAAUUACUGGGCGUAAAGGGCGCGUAGGCGGCCUGCUAAGUCGGACGUGAAAUCCCUCGGCUCAACCGGGGAACUGCGUCCGAUACUGGCGAGGCUUGAAUCCGGGAGAGGGAUGUGGAAUUCCAGGUGUAGCGGUGAAAUGUGUAGAUAUCCGGAGGAACACCGGUGGCGAAGGCGGCUUCCUGGACCGACACUGACGCUGAGGCGCGAAAGCUAGGGGAGCAAACGGG
This 254-nucleotide ribosomal RNA is filed under the name uncultured bacterium. RNAcentral's name for it is "partial 16S ribosomal RNA". It matches the Rfam family "Bacterial small subunit ribosomal RNA", at positions 524 to 776 of the family's 1533-position model. The record is from RNAcentral.